UACGGGGGGGGCAAGCGUUGUUCGGAAUUACUGGGCGUAAAGGGCUCGUAGGUGGCCAACUAAGUCAGACGUGAAAUCCCUCGGCUUAACCGGGGAACUGCGUCUGAUACUGGAUGGCUUGAGUUCGGGAGAGGGAUGCGGAAUUCCAGGUGUAGCGGUGAAAUGCGUAGAUAUCUGGAGGAACACCGGUGGCGAAGGCGGCAUCCUGGACCGAUACUGACGCUGAGGAGCGAAAGCCAGGGGAGCAAACAGG
RNAcentral lists this ribosomal RNA (253 nucleotides) under uncultured bacterium. RNAcentral describes it as "partial 16S ribosomal RNA". It matches the Rfam family "Bacterial small subunit ribosomal RNA", at positions 524 to 776 of the family's 1533-position model. The record is from RNAcentral.